AAGGACCCCGGGAGGGGAGUGAAAGAGAACCUGAAACCUUGUGCUUACAAACAGUCAAAGGACGCAAGUCUGAUGGCGUACUUUUUGUAGAACGGUCCGGCGAGUUACUAAUGCCAGCGAGGUUAAGUGGUCAGAAGCCACGGAGCCGAAGGGAAACCAAGUCUGAAUAGGGCGUAGAGUUGGUAUUAGUAGACCCGAAACCGGGUGACCUAUCCAUGUCCAGGUUGAAGGAACCGUAAAAGGUUUUGGAGGACCGAACACACAUGUGUUGAAAAACGUGGUGAUGAGGUGUGGAUAGCGGAGAAAUUCCAAUCGAACUCGGAGAUAGCUGGUUCUCCUCGAAAUAGCUUUAGGGCUAGCCUCGAGCUGGAGUCUAACGGAGGUAAAGCACUGAACUGACGCGGGGCCCAAAAAGGUUACCAACUCAUAUCAAACUAAGAAUGCCGUCAAGAUACCCUCGGGAGUCAGUCUGCGUGAGAUAAGUCGCGUGGACAAAAGGGAAAGAGCCCAGACCGACAGCUAAGGUCCCAAAGUACGUGUUAAGUGGAAAAGGAUGUGGGAUUUCAUAGACAACUAGGAUGUUGGCUUAGAAGCAGCCAUACAUUUAAAGAGUGCGUAAUAGCUCACUAGUCGAGAAAACCUGCGCCGAAAAUGUAACGGGGCUAAAACACGACACCGAAGCUACGGAUUUCCUACAAGGUAGGAAGUGGUAGAGGAGCAUCCUGCAAGGACGAAGCCAAAGUGAGAGCGAUGGUGGACGAAACAGGAGAGAGAAUGCCGGAAUGAGUAGCGAGAUACAUGUGAGAAACAUGUAGGCCGAAUAUCUAAGGAUUCCUGGGUAAAGCUAAUCUUCCCAGGGUUAGUCGGGGCCUAAGGCGAGGACGAAAGUCGUAGUCGAUGGAUAACAGGUUGAUAUUCCUGUACUACACAUAAUCAGAACUGUGGGGACGCAGGAGGAUAGGGAAACCGGGGAAUGGAAAGACCCGGUCAAGCGUAAAGCUGUGGGAGAUAGGCAAAUCCGUCUCCUGUAAGUGAAACGUGAUGAGGACUGAAAAAAAGUAAGGAAGUUUCCGAAUCCACACUGCCGAGAAAAGCCGCUAUUGCGUUAUGUGUACCCGUACCGUAAACCGACACAGGUAGAUGAGGAGAAAAUCCACAGGCCGACGGGAGAAGUGUUGUUAAGGAACUCGGCAAAAUGACCCCGUAACUUCGGGAUAAGGGGAGCCUCGCAAGAGGCCGCAGAAAAGAGGCACAAGCAACUGUUUAGCAAAAACAUAGGUCUAUGCGAAACCGUAAGGUGAAGUAUAUGGGCUGACGCCUGCCCGGUGCUGGAAGGUUAAAAGGAGAGGUCAGCGCAAGCGAAGCUUUGAAUUCAAGCCCCAGUAAACGGCGGCCGUAACUAUAACGGUCCUAAGGUAGCGAAAUUCCUUGUCAGGUAAGUUCUGACCCGCACGAAAGGCGUAAUGAUUUGUGCACUGUCUCGACAACACGCCCGGUGAAAUUGAAGAACCAGUGAAGAUACUGGUUACCCGCAACAGGACGGAAAGACCCCAUGGAGCUUUACUGCAGCCUGAUACUGGGAUUCGAUGAUAUAUGUACAGGAUAGGUGGGAGGCUAAGAAGCGAGAACGCUAGUUUUCGUGGAGCCGCCGGUGGGAUACCACUCUUAUGUCAUUGAAUUUCUAACCUGCAUCCGUAAUCCGGAUGAGGGACAAUGUCAGGCGGGCAGUUUGACUGGGGCGGUCGCCUCCUAAAAGGUAACGGAGGCGCUCGAAGGUCACCUCAGAAUGAUUGGAAACCAUUCAAAGAGUGUAAAGGCAAAAGGUGGCUUGACUGCGAGAGCGACGGCUCGAGCAGGUACGAAAGUAGGACUUAGUGAUCCGGUGGUAUUAAGUGGGA
Molecule: ribosomal RNA, 1898 nt
Filed under: human gut metagenome
Description: bacterial LSU rRNA
Rfam family: Bacterial large subunit ribosomal RNA
Source: RNAcentral